RNAcentral lists this transfer RNA (67 nucleotides) under Ovis aries (sheep). It matches the Rfam family "tRNA". Rfam says of the family: Transfer RNA (tRNA) molecules are approximately 80 nucleotides in length. Their secondary structure includes four short double-helical elements and three loops (D, anti-codon, and T loops). Lineage: Eukaryota; Metazoa; Chordata; Mammalia; Artiodactyla; Bovidae. The record is from Rfam by way of RNAcentral.
UUCCUGGUAGCUCAGAUGGUAAAGAAUCUGCCUGCAGGAGACCUGGGUUCGAUCCCUGGCUAGGGAA